ACUUAAUGGUGUGAGAAACAUGUGGAAGAUUAUAGAAAAAAGGAGAAAAUCUGAAUGGAACAAAAGGCAGGAGCUAAAGUCAAAAUUUCUUGGAAUAUCCCUGGAAGGCCAGCUCUUGUUGGGUUCUAACAACUAUGGAGAAGUAAUUGCUAUUCUAGGAACUUCAGAUGCCUUAAGUAAUUUAUUUUUCUUAAUUAUCUUCUGAGGUUAGUCAAAUUUACAGAGGAAUAAACCGAAGCACCAACGGAAGAAUAACGCAAAAGUCUCACAGAAGGGGAAAAUGCUGUCUUUGUAACUUUCAGCGGAGACACUCCCAGACGUCAGUGUGUAUCUCGUCCACAUGGUGCAAUCUGCCAUGUUCUGAGAGCUGGUCUCCAUGGAUUUGGUUCUUGGCUUCCUUUUCUAGAGAGUGCCAGAGAGAUUCCAUAUACAGAAGUUUUCCUUCAGAGACUUCAUACCUUUGCUAUUCAAUCCUCACUCCUCACCGACAGAGAUCUUGAUGACAGGAAACACAUCCCCGGUGAGCACAGCUUGAUGGCAGCUGGCAACGUCUCCUGGUUUUUAUGGAAGGCUUAAUUGGAGAGUGUCUGAUGCCUGAAGGACUUUGCUGGUUGACAACCUUGAAAAUGGUGAAAGAAAGAAAUUGAAACCAGAUCUCACUGAGUGGGAAGGCCUCACUCAGCUGACCUGUGAACAAAGACCUACAUGAAGUGAUAAGCAGAUAUCUGGGACGAGCAUUCCAGGCACAGAGAACAGCAUGUGCAAAACCCCAGAGACAAGAGUAUUCCUGGAGUGUGAAAGGACUACAAGAAAUCACGUUUGUUCGAGAUAGCUUCAGUGAGACUCUAUCAAAUUGAAACAAACCACAGGAACAGACGCUUUUUCUCAUUGCAUGGCUGCCACUCUUGGAGAGCAGGAAAGGUGUGCAGUAGGAGCACCUGAGCUGCUCUUCACCACAGCUCAGGAGGGGAGAGGAGGACUCUGAGGCUCAGGAGGAGAGGGGAGGACUCCAUGGCUCAGGAAGAGUGGGAAGAAUACCACAAAGUCUGUGCAAGUUUUUACAUGGCAAAUGGCAUUUCCCUGGGUGAUCCUGAGACCCAGACUUCUUCUGUCUUACCUACCAUCCCUUGGAUCUUACAUUAUCUGCAUCAAGUGGGCAGAAUGGAAAGAGAAUAGGAAGUUCCGAUCUAGAAGGCACAUUUCUGCACAUAUUCCAAUGGUGAGAACAAGCCACAUGGCCACACUUAGAAGCAAACAAAGCUGGGAAACAUGGUCUCUGGCUGGGCAGCCAGUUAUCAGCAGUAACUGUCUUCAGAUGCUUCUCAACCUACAAUGUGGCUCUGUCCCAAUAAAUCCAUUGUAAGUUAAAAAUAUCAUAAAUUGAAACGCAUUUUCUACACCUAACCUACCAAACAACAUAGCUUAGGCUAGCCUACCUCAAACAUGCUCAGAAUACUUAUAUUAGCAUUCAAUUGGGCAAAAUCAUCAAACACGAAGCCUAUUUUAUGAUAAAGUGUU
This is a long non-coding RNA of Pongo pygmaeus (Bornean orangutan), 1518 nucleotides long. RefSeq lists it as uncharacterized. The transcript has 8 exons. NCBI's taxonomy places the organism in Eukaryota, Metazoa, Chordata, Mammalia, Primates, Hominidae. The record is from RefSeq and is a predicted model, not a curated record.